RNAcentral lists this ribosomal RNA (753 nucleotides) under Salmonella enterica. RNAcentral's name for it is "partial 23S ribosomal RNA". It matches the Rfam family "Bacterial large subunit ribosomal RNA", at positions 438 to 1190 of the family's 2925-position model. RNAcentral also lists the same sequence under 1 other name. The record is from RNAcentral. Lineage: Bacteria; Pseudomonadati; Pseudomonadota; Gammaproteobacteria; Enterobacterales; Enterobacteriaceae.
CUGAAUAUGGGGGGACCAUCCUCCAAGGCUAAAUACUCCUGACUGACCGAUAGUGAACCAGUACCGUGAGGGAAAGGCGAAAAGAACCCCGGCGAGGGGAGUGAAAAAGAACCUGAAACCGUGUACGUACAAGCAGUGGGAGCACAGGUUUACCUGUGUGACUGCGUACCUUUUGUAUAAUGGGUCAGCGACUUAUAUUCUGUAGCAAGGUUAACCGAAUAGGGGAGCCGGAGGGAAACCGAGUCUUAAUUGGGCGUUAAGUUGCAGGGUAUAGACCCGAAACCCGGUGAUCUAGCCAUGGGCAGGUUGAAGGUUGGGUAACACUAACUGGAGGACCGAACCGACUAAUGUUGAAAAAUUAGCGGAUGACCUGUGGCUGGGGGUGAAAGGCCAAUCAAACCGGGAGAUAGCUGGUUCUCCCCGAAAGCUAUUUAGGUAGCGCCUCGUGAAUUCAUCUCCGGGGGUAGAGCACUGUUUCGGCUAGGGGGCCAUCCCGGCUUACCAACCCGAUGCAAACUGCGAAUACCGGAGAAUGUUAUCACGGGAGACACACGGCGGGUGCUAACGUCCGUCGUGAAGAGGGAAACAACCCAGACCGCCAGCUAAGGUCCCAAAGUCAUGGUUAAGUGGGAAACGAUGUGGGAAGGCCCAGACAGCCAGGAUGUUGGCUUAGAAGCAGCCAUCAUUUAAAGAAAGCGUAAUAGCUCACUGGUCGAGUCGGCCUGCGCGGAAGAUGUAACGGGGCUAAACCAU